UACACAUGCAGUCGAACGGUAGCACAGAGGAGCUUGCUCCUUGGGUGACGAGUGGCGGACGGGUGAGUAAUGUCUGGGAAACUGCCCGAUGGAGGGGGAUAACUACUGGAAACGGUAGCUAAUACCGCAUAACGUCGCAAGACCAAAGAGGGGGACCUUCGGGCCUCUUGCCAUCGGAUGUGCCCAGAUGGGAUUAGCUAGUAGGUGGGGUAACGGCUCACCUAGGCGACGAUCCCUAGCUGGUCUGAGAGGAUGACCAGCCACACUGGAACUGAGACACGGUCCAGACUCCUACGGGAGGCAGCAGUGGGGAAUAUUGCACAAUGGGCGCAAGCCUGAUGCAGCCAUGCCGCGUGUAUGAAGAAGGCCUUCGGGUUGUAAAGUACUUUCAGCGAGGAGGAAGGGGAUGUGGUUAAUAACCGCAUUCAUUGACGUUACUCGCAGAAGAAGCACCGGCUAACUCCGUGCCAGCAGCCGCGGUAAUACGGAGGGUGCAAGCGUUAAUCGGAAUUACUGGGCGUAAAGCGCACGCAGGCGGUCUGUCAAGUCGGAUGUGAAAUCCCCGGGCUCAACCUGGGAACUGCAUCCGAAACUGGCAGGCUAGAGUCUUGUAGAGGGGGGUAGAAUUCCAGGUGUAGCGGUGAAAUGCGUAGAGAUCUGGAGGAAUACCGGUGGCGAAGGCGGCCCCCUGGACAAAGACUGACGCUCAGGUGCGAAAGCGUGGGGAGCAAACAGGAUUAGU
Molecule: ribosomal RNA, 742 nt
Filed under: Citrobacter freundii
Lineage: Bacteria; Pseudomonadati; Pseudomonadota; Gammaproteobacteria; Enterobacterales; Enterobacteriaceae
Description: bacterial SSU rRNA
Rfam family: Bacterial small subunit ribosomal RNA
Source: RNAcentral